UACGUAGGGUGCAAGCGUUAUCCGGAAUUAUUGGGCGUAAAGAGCUCGUAGGCGGUUUGUCGCGUCUGCUGUGAAAACUGGAGGCUCAACCUCCAGCCUGCAGUGGGUACGGGCAGACUAGAGUGUGGUAGGGGAGACUGGAAUUCCUGGUGUAGCGGUGAAAUGCGCAGAUAUCAGGAGGAACACCGGUGGCGAAGGCGGGUCUCUGGGCCGAUACUGACGC
This 223-nucleotide ribosomal RNA is filed under the name uncultured bacterium. RNAcentral describes it as "partial 16S ribosomal RNA". It matches the Rfam family "Bacterial small subunit ribosomal RNA", at positions 524 to 746 of the family's 1533-position model. The record is from RNAcentral.